CCUCACCCUCCCUAGACUCUAACAGCCUGUGUACUGCCGUCGUAAGCACACCCCUAAAAGAAAGAAGUGUGCAGACAUGAUUAAACUCAUAUACGUCAGGUCAAAGUGCAGCCCAUGGGAGGGAGAUGAUGGGUUACACCCUAAACAAAGAUACGGAAUACAGUACUAAAAGCUGUAUAAAGGAGGACUUGGUUGUAACGUUUCUUCAAAACUAAAGUGAAUAUGAAUCUAAGACAUGUACACAUCGCCCGUCACUCUCGCCUAAAGGCGGGAUAAGUCGUAACAAAGUAGGUGUAACGGAAGUUGUCCCUGU
RNAcentral lists this ribosomal RNA (313 nucleotides) under Lumbricus rubellus (humus earthworm). RNAcentral describes it as "partial 12S ribosomal RNA". It matches the Rfam family "Bacterial small subunit ribosomal RNA", at positions 966 to 1520 of the family's 1533-position model. Lineage: Eukaryota; Metazoa; Annelida; Clitellata; Crassiclitellata; Lumbricidae. The record is from RNAcentral.